AUUGAACGCUGGCGGCAUGCUUUACACAUGCAAGUCGAGCGGCAGCGCGGGGGCAACCCUGGCGGCGAGCGGCGAACGGGUGAGGAAUACAUCGGAACGUGCCCGAGAGUGGGGGGAUAACGCCGCGAAAGCGGCGCUAAUACCGCAUAUUCUCUGAGGAGGAAAGUGGGGGACCGCAAGGCCUCACGCUCACGGAGCGGCCGAUGUCGGAUUAGCUAGUUGGUGGGGUAAAGGCUUACCAAGGCGACGAUCCGUAGCUGGUCUGAGAGGAUGAUCAGCCACACUGGGACUGAGACACGGCCCAGACUCCUACGGGAGGCAGCAGUGGGGUAAUUUUGGACAAUGGGGGCAACCCUGAUCCAGCCAUGCCGCGUGCGGGAAGAAGGCCUGUGUACGUACGUUACGGUAACGAAAGUACGACA
Molecule: ribosomal RNA, 422 nt
Filed under: uncultured bacterium
Lineage: Bacteria
Description: bacterial SSU rRNA
Rfam family: Bacterial small subunit ribosomal RNA
Source: RNAcentral